UGCAGAAAUGUCCUCAAGAGGGUGGGCUA
This 29-nucleotide non-coding RNA is filed under the name Mus musculus (house mouse). Lineage: Eukaryota; Metazoa; Chordata; Mammalia; Rodentia; Muridae. The record is from RNAcentral.